UACCGAACUGUCGACAGGAGCUGUUGCUGGCCCUCGGAAGGGGGCACGUGCACGCUCUGUUUACACAUCCACUCACACCUGUGCACCCUCUGUAGUUCUAUGGCCUUGGGGACCCCGUCCCCUUGCCGUGGUCCUACGUCUUUACACACACACCGUAACAAAGUAUCAUGGAAUGUAUGUCGCGUUUAACGCAAUACAAUACAACUUUCAGCAACGGAUCUCUUGGCUCUCGCAUCGAUGAAGAACGCAGCGAAAUGCGAUAAGUAAUGUGAAUUGCAGAAUUCAGUGAAUCAUCGAAUCUUUGAACGCACCUUGCGCCCUUUGGCUAUUCUGAAGGGCAUGCCUGUUUGAGUAUCAUGAACACCUCAACUCUCAUGGUCCGCCAUGAUGAGCUUGGACUUUGGGGGUCUUGCCGGCCUAGCGUCGGCUCCUCUCAAAUGGAUCAGCUUCCCAGUGUUUGGUGGCGUCACAGGUGUGAUAACUAUCUACGCUUGUGGUUUUCCGCCAUUAACCUUCAGCAAUGGAGGUUCGCUGGAGCUCACAGAUGUCUCUCC
RNAcentral lists this ribosomal RNA (554 nucleotides) under uncultured fungus. RNAcentral's name for it is "eukaryotic LSU rRNA". The stretch from base 203 to 357 matches the Rfam family "5.8S ribosomal RNA". The record is from RNAcentral. Lineage: Eukaryota; Fungi.